UGGGGAAUAUUGCACAAUGGGCGCAAGCCUGAUGCAGCCAUGCCGCGUGUAUGAAGAAGGCCUUCGGGUUGUAAAGUACUUUCAGCGGGGAGGAAGGGAGUAAAGUUAAUACCUUUGCUCAUUGACGUUACCCGCAGAAGAAGCACCGGCUAACUCCGUGCCAGCAGCCGCGGUAAUACGGAGGGUGCAAGCGUUAAUCGGAAUUACUGGGCGUAAAGCGCACGCAGGCGGUUUGUUAAGUCAGAUGUGAAAUCCCCGGACUCAACCUGGGAACUGCAUCUGAUACUGGCAAGCUUGAGUCUCGUAGAGGGGGGUAGAAUUCCAGGUGUAGCGGUGAAAUGCGUAGAGAUCUGGAGGAAUACCGGUGGCGAAGGCGGCCCCCUGGACAAAGACUGACGCUCAGGUGCGAAAGCGUGGGGAGCAAACAGG
RNAcentral lists this ribosomal RNA (429 nucleotides) under Chloroflexota bacterium. RNAcentral's name for it is "Chloroflexi bacterium partial 16S ribosomal RNA". It matches the Rfam family "Bacterial small subunit ribosomal RNA", at positions 355 to 776 of the family's 1533-position model. The record is from RNAcentral. Lineage: Bacteria; Bacillati; Chloroflexota.